CGGUAAUUCCAGCUCCAAUAGCGUAUACUAAAGUUGUUGCAGUUAAAAAGCUCGUAGUUGGAUUUCUGCGGGGACGGAGCGGCCGGACGCAACUUGCGUCUCGAGCUAGCGCUUUCCCCACAUCCUGCCGCGAACCGUGCUACCAUUAGCUUGGUGGCGCUGGGGAUCGGCUCGAUUACUUUGAGAAAAAUAGAGUGUUCAAAGCAGGCCACACGCCUUGAAUAAGUUAGCAUGGAAUAAUGAUUAAGGACUUCGGUUCUAUUUUGUUGGUGUUCGGGACUGAAGUAAUGAUUGAUAGGGACAGUUGGGGCGGUCUGUAUUCCAAAGCGAGAGGUGAAAUUCUUAGACCUUCGGAAGACAAACAGCUGCGAAAGCGUUCCGCAAGGAUGUUCCCUUUGAUCAAGAACGAAAGUUGGGGGAUCGAAGACGAUCAGAUACCGUCGUAGUCUCAACUAUAAACUAUACCAGCUAGGGAUCGGCCAACGUUUAACUUUAUCGACUUGGUCGGCACCUUAUGAGAAAUCAAAGCAUCUGGGUUCCGGGGGGAGUAUGGUCGCAAGGCUGAAACUUAAAGGAAUUGACGGAAGGGCACCACCAGGCGUGGAGCCUGUGGCUUAAUUUGACUCAACACGGGAAAACUUACCAGGUCCAGACAUAGGAAGGAUUGACAGAUUGAUAGCUCUUUCUUGAUUCUGUGGGUGGUGGUGCAUGGCCGUUUUUAGUCGGUGAAGUGAUUUGUCUGCUUAAUUGCGUUAACGGACGAGACCCCAGCCUGCUAAAUAGCGCGGCCGAGCUUUGCUCGGUGCGAGCUUCUUAGAGGGACCAUGAUGCGCGAUAGCACAAGGAAGUUUGGGGCAACAACAGGUCUGUGAUGCCCUUAGAUGUUCUGGGCCGCACACGGGCUACACUGGCGCCUGCAACGAGCAUAUCAGCUGGCCCGAGAGGGUCUUGGCUAAUCUUUGGAACCGGCGCCGUGCUUGGGAUUGACCAUUGCAAUUGUUGGUCAUGCAACGAGGAAUGCCUUGUAAACGCGAGUCAUCAGCUCGCAUUGAAUACGUCCCUGCCCUUUGUACACACCGCCCGUCGCUCCUACCGAUGAAUGUUCCGAUGAAAUUUUCGGAGAGCGCCAGAGAACGGGGCUCUGCCUUGCAGAUCUGGAGGCUCAAAGUCACUUAAAUCUGAACAUUUCGAGGAAGGAGAAGUCGUAACAAGGUAGCCG
RNAcentral lists this ribosomal RNA (1219 nucleotides) under uncultured Rhizaria. RNAcentral's name for it is "SSU rRNA". It matches the Rfam family "Eukaryotic small subunit ribosomal RNA", at positions 577 to 1805 of the family's 1831-position model. The record is from RNAcentral.